Molecule: transfer RNA, 72 nt
Filed under: Camelus bactrianus (Bactrian camel)
Lineage: Eukaryota; Metazoa; Chordata; Mammalia; Artiodactyla; Camelidae
Also listed under: 2 other names
Rfam family: tRNA
About the family: Transfer RNA (tRNA) molecules are approximately 80 nucleotides in length. Their secondary structure includes four short double-helical elements and three loops (D, anti-codon, and T loops).
Source: Rfam by way of RNAcentral
GAGGGUAUAGCUCAGUGGUAGAGUGUGUGCCUUGCAAGCAUAAUCUCCUGGGUUCAAUCCCCAGUACCUCCA